Molecule: ribosomal RNA, 425 nt
Filed under: uncultured bacterium
Lineage: Bacteria
Description: partial 16S ribosomal RNA
Rfam family: Bacterial small subunit ribosomal RNA
Source: RNAcentral
GUGGGGAAUCUUGCGCAAUGGGCGAAAGCCUGACGCAGCCAUGUCGCGUGAAUGAUGAAGGUCUUAGGAUUGUAAAAUUCUUUCACCGGGGACGAUAAUGACGGUACCCGGAGAAGAAGCCCCGGCUAACUUCGUGCCAGCAGCCGCGGUAAUACGAAGGGGGCUAGCGUUGCUCGGAAUUACUGGGCGUAAAGGGCGCGUAGGCGGACAGUUUAGUCAGAGGUGAAAGCCCAGGGCUCAACCUUGGAAUUGCCUUUGAUACUGGCUGUCUUGAGUACGGGAGAGGUGAGUGGAACUCCGAGUGUAGAGGUGAAAUUCGUAGAUAUUCGGAAGAACACCAGUGGCGAAGGCGACUCACUGGCCCGUUACUGACGCUGAGGCGCGAAAGCGUGGGGAGCAAACAGGAUUAGAUACCCCAGUAGUCC